GCCCCGUUAGCUCAGUGGUAGAGCAGGAAGCUCUUAACUUCAAGGUCGGGGGUUCAAAUCCCUCACGGGGCA
This 72-nucleotide transfer RNA is filed under the name Candidatus Nealsoniibacteriota bacterium. Its description in RNAcentral is "Candidatus Nealsonbacteria bacterium tRNA-Lys". It matches the Rfam family "tRNA". Rfam says of the family: Transfer RNA (tRNA) molecules are approximately 80 nucleotides in length. Their secondary structure includes four short double-helical elements and three loops (D, anti-codon, and T loops). Lineage: Bacteria; Candidatus Nealsoniibacteriota. The record is from RNAcentral.